GACGAACGCUGGCGGCGUGCUUAACACAUGCAAGUCGAACGGAAAGGCCCUGCUUUUGUGGGGUGCUCGAGUGGCGAACGGGUGAGUAACACGUGAGUAACCUGCCCUUGACUUUGGGAUAACUUCAGGAAACUGGGGCUAAUACCGGAUAGGAGCUCCUGCUGCAUGGUGGGGGUUGGAAAGUUUCGGCGGUUGGGGAUGGACUCGCGGCUUAUCAGCUUGUUGGUGGGGUAGUGGCUUACCAAGGCUUUGACGGGUAGCCGGCCUGAGAGGGUGACCGGCCACAUUGGGACUGAGAUACGGCCCAGACUCCUACGGGAGGCAGCAGUGGGGAAUAUUGCACAACGGGCGGAAGCCUGAUGCAGCAACGCCGUGUGCGGGAUGACGGCCUUCGGGUUGUAAACCGCUUUCGCCUGUGACGAAGCGUGAGUGACGGUAAUGGGUAAAGAAGCACCGGCUAACUACGUG
This 468-nucleotide ribosomal RNA is filed under the name uncultured bacterium. RNAcentral describes it as "partial 16S ribosomal RNA". It matches the Rfam family "Bacterial small subunit ribosomal RNA", at positions 28 to 507 of the family's 1533-position model. The record is from RNAcentral.